Molecule: long non-coding RNA, 133 nt
Organism: Ixodes scapularis (black-legged tick)
Lineage: Eukaryota; Metazoa; Arthropoda; Arachnida; Ixodida; Ixodidae
Exons: 3
Source: RefSeq, a predicted model, not a curated record
CGAAGGUCCACAAGGUCUUCCGGGACAAUCGGGUGAAAUGGGACCAAGAGGAUUUCCGGGUCCCAGAGGAUUUUCUGGACUCCCUGGACCACCGGGGAUACCAGGCUCUGAAGGACCACUUGGACCAAAAGGC